RNAcentral lists this ribosomal RNA (202 nucleotides) under Shouchella clausii. Its description in RNAcentral is "Bacillus clausii partial 16S ribosomal RNA". It matches the Rfam family "Bacterial small subunit ribosomal RNA", at positions 73 to 266 of the family's 1533-position model. Lineage: Bacteria; Bacillati; Bacillota; Bacilli; Caryophanales; Bacillaceae. The record is from RNAcentral.
AAGGAGCUUGCUCCUUUGACGUUAGCGGCGGACGGGUGAGUAACACGUGGGCAACCUGCCCCUUAGACUGGGAUAACUCCGGGAAACCGGAGCUAAUACCGGAUAAUCCCUUUCUCCACCUGGAGAGAGGGUGAAAGAUGGCUUCGGCUAUCACUAAGGGAUGGGCCCGCGGCGCAUUAGCUAGUUGGUAAGGUAACGGCUU